GGGUUGUGAGGUUAAGCGACUAAGCGUACACGGUGGAUGCCCUGGCAGUCAGAGGCGAUGAAGGACGUGCUAAUCUGCGAUAAGCGUCGGURAGGUGAUAUGAACCRUUAUAACCGGCGAUUUCCGAAUGGGGAAACCCAGUGUGWUUCGWCACACUAUCAUUAACUGAAUCCAUAGGUUAAUGAGGCGAACCGGGGGAACUGAAACAUCUAAGUACCCCGAGGAAAAGA
Molecule: ribosomal RNA, 230 nt
Filed under: Escherichia coli
Lineage: Bacteria; Pseudomonadati; Pseudomonadota; Gammaproteobacteria; Enterobacterales; Enterobacteriaceae
Description: partial 23S ribosomal RNA
Rfam family: Bacterial large subunit ribosomal RNA
Source: RNAcentral